UACAGAGGUCUCAAGCGUUGUUCGGAUUCAUUGGGCGUAAAGGGUGCGUAGGCGGCGCGGUAAGUCGGGUGUGAAAUUUCGAGGCUUAACCUCGAAACUGCAUUCGAUACUGCCGUGCUAGAGGACUGGAGAGGAGACUGGAAUUUACGGUGUAGCGGUGAAAUGCGUAGAUAUCGUAAGGAAGACCAGUGGCGAAGGCGGGUCUCUGGACAGUUCCUGACGCUGAGGCACGAAGGCCAGGGGAGCAAACGGG
This 253-nucleotide ribosomal RNA is filed under the name uncultured bacterium. RNAcentral describes it as "partial 16S ribosomal RNA". It matches the Rfam family "Bacterial small subunit ribosomal RNA", at positions 524 to 776 of the family's 1533-position model. The record is from RNAcentral.